UCCUUCUUGGCGCAAUUGGCUAGCGCGUUCGGCUGUUACUCUAGUACAAAGAGAAGCAAACCGGAAGGUUUCAAGUUCGAAUCUUGGAGAGGGAG
This 95-nucleotide transfer RNA is filed under the name Hortaea werneckii EXF-2000. It matches the Rfam family "tRNA". From Rfam's summary of the family: Transfer RNA (tRNA) molecules are approximately 80 nucleotides in length. Their secondary structure includes four short double-helical elements and three loops (D, anti-codon, and T loops). Lineage: Eukaryota; Fungi; Ascomycota; Dothideomycetes; Mycosphaerellales; Teratosphaeriaceae. The record is from Rfam by way of RNAcentral.